Molecule: long non-coding RNA, 212 nt
Organism: Prionailurus viverrinus (fishing cat)
Lineage: Eukaryota; Metazoa; Chordata; Mammalia; Carnivora; Felidae
Exons: 3
Source: RefSeq, a predicted model, not a curated record
UUUAUCCAUUCAUCCAUCGAUGGACAUUUGGGCUCUUUCCAUACUUUGGCUAUUGUGGAUAGUGCUGCUAUAAACAUUGGAGUGCAUGUGCCCCUUCGAAACCAAAUACCUGUAUGCCUUGGAUAAUUACCUAGUAGUGCAAUUGCUGGUUGUAGGGUAAUUCUAUUUUUAAUAUUUUGAGGAACCUCCAUACUGUUUUCCAUAGUAGGUGC